CCUACGGGGGGCAGCAGUGAGGAAUAUUGGUCAAUGGACGAGAGUCUGAACCAGCCAAGUAGCGUGAAGGAUGACUGCCCUAUGGGUUGUAAACUUCUUUUAUAAAGGAAUAAAACGAGGCACGUGUGCCUUUUUGCAUGUACUUUAUGAAUAAGGAUCGGCUAACUCCGUGCCAGCAGCCGCGGUAAUACGGAGGAUCCGAGCGUUAUCCGGAUUUAUUGGGUUUAAAGGGAGCGUAGAUGGGUUGUUAAGUCAGUUGUGAAAGUUUGCGGCUCAACCGUAAAAUUGCAAUUGAUACUGGCAGUCGUGAGUACAGUUGAGGUAGGCGGAAUUCGUGGUGUAGCGGUGAAAUGCUGAGAUAUCACGAAGAACCCCGAUUGCGAAGGCAGCUUACUAAACUGUGACUGACAUUGAUGCUCGAAAGUGUGGGUAUCAAACAGGAUUAGAUACCCUAGUAGUC
RNAcentral lists this ribosomal RNA (460 nucleotides) under uncultured bacterium. RNAcentral's name for it is "partial 16S ribosomal RNA". It matches the Rfam family "Bacterial small subunit ribosomal RNA", at positions 338 to 795 of the family's 1533-position model. The record is from RNAcentral.